GAUGAACGCUGGCGGCGUGCUUAACACAUGCAAGUCGAGCGAAGCACUCAGAAGUUUUCGGACAGAAGAGUGACUGAGCGGGCGAGGGUGAAGUACGCGUGGGUAACCUGCCUCAUACAGGGGGAUAACAGUUAGAAAUGACUGCUAAUACCGCAUAAGCGCACAGAACCGCAUGGUUCGGUGUGAAAAACUCCGGUGGUAUGAGAUGGACCCGCGUCUGAUUAGGUAGUUGGUGAGGUAACGGCCCACCAAGGCGACGAUCAGUAGCCGACCUGGGAGGGUGAUCGGCCACAUUGGGACUGAGACACGGCCCAA
RNAcentral lists this ribosomal RNA (315 nucleotides) under uncultured bacterium. Its description in RNAcentral is "bacterial SSU rRNA". It matches the Rfam family "Bacterial small subunit ribosomal RNA", at positions 28 to 334 of the family's 1533-position model. The record is from RNAcentral.